This 439-nucleotide ribosomal RNA is filed under the name Clostridioides difficile. RNAcentral describes it as "bacterial SSU rRNA". It matches the Rfam family "Bacterial small subunit ribosomal RNA", at positions 1 to 447 of the family's 1533-position model. Lineage: Bacteria; Bacillati; Bacillota; Clostridia; Peptostreptococcales; Peptostreptococcaceae. The record is from RNAcentral.
UUUUAUUUGAGAGUUUGAUCCUGGCUCAGGAUGAACGCUGGCGGCGUGCCUAACACAUGCAAGUUGAGCGAUUUACUUCGGUAAAGAGCGGCGGACGGGUGAGUAACGCGUGGGUAACCUACCCUGUACACACGGAUAACAUACCGAAAGGUAUGCUAAUACGGGAUAAUAUAUUUGAGAGGCAUCUCUUAAAUAUCAAAGGUGAGCCAGUACAGGAUGGACCCGCGUCUGAUUAGCUAGUUGGUAAGGUAACGGCUUACCAAGGCGACGAUCAGUAGCCGACCUGAGAGGGUGAUCGGCCACAUUGGAACUGAGACACGGUCCAAACUCCUACGGGAGGCAGCAGUGGGGAAUAUUGCACAAUGGGCGAAAGCCUGAUGCAGCAACGCCGCGUGAGUGAUGAAGGCCUUCGGGUCGUAAAACUCUGUCCUCAAGGAAG